Long non-coding RNA from Salmo salar (Atlantic salmon), 1428 nucleotides. RefSeq lists it as uncharacterized. NCBI's taxonomy places the organism in Eukaryota, Metazoa, Chordata, Actinopteri, Salmoniformes, Salmonidae. The record is from RefSeq and is a predicted model, not a curated record.
UAUCAAGUGCCUUUGGAGGGAAGGCGGUGUCACAUCACCAAGGAGCAGCUUGAGUUCCUCAUAGAUUGUCAUAUGACCAUCAGACAAAUGGCAGAUGUUCUCAAUGUGUCCCACUCUGUGGUCAAGCGGCGCAUGAGGUGGAGGAUUGUUAUCCAUGGUGCUGUGGAUGGUUACAGCAGACUUGUUGUGUUUCUGAAGGCCUCUGACAACAACAGGACUGCCACAGUCAUGGAUGUCAUUCGAAGCAGUCAUCACCAGCUACGGAGUACAUCCCGGGAUUUGUUCUCUAGAAAGGUACGACAGACAUCUUCAACUCUAAACGGAUGGGGACCAGAGUUUAGACACAGGUGGCCUUAACAAAAGUUAAGUACUUCCCCAUUCCAGUACGAUUCUGCUUGGUCAUAUUUGGAGAGACUCAGGUACUGUUAAGAUGUACGGCAUAUGGUUGUUGUAUUUGCUCUAUGGCGCUUUAGCACAACAUUCCAUCUGCUGACGCAAUAUUUGUCUUCCACUCUGUACAACACGACCCAGGAGAGGCCUACUGCAAGCACUGGUGUGGAGCCUUCAGAGCGUGCCUGCUGUGGGAGGACAACAGAACAUUGUGAAUGGACAUUAUUAAAACAGAACUUACAUUUUUGUAAUGCCCAAUCGGGACUUUUAUAAAUUGUUAAAAUAAAUAAUUGUUUGGAGAACGCCCUAUAGUUAAAAAAAUUAACUUUGAAGAUAGUGGUUCGCCCCCGUUACAUUUUAUAUCACUGUGAUUAACAGAAAACUAUUACAGUUAGUAACAUAACAUUGUUGACACAUUGCAACAGCUCAAAUGAUGUGGUUGAAGAUGGACUAGUGCAGGGCUCCUAACCUUGUUCCUGGAGAGCUACUGUCUUGUAGGUUCACUCCGACCCUAAUCUAGUGCACCGGAUUUGAAUAAUUACCUGCUUAAUAAGUUAAUCAGGUUAGUUACAAUUGAGGUUGGAUUGAAAACCUACAGGAGGGAACAGGGUUGGAGAGCCCUGAUGUAAACCUACAGGAGGGAACAGGGUUGGAGAGCCCUGAUGUAAACCUUCAGGAGGGAACAGGGUUGGAGAGCCCUGAUGUAAACCUACAGGAUGGAACAGGGUUGGAGAGCCCUGAUGUAAACCUUCAGGAGGGAACAGGGUUGAUGUAAACCUACAGGAGGGUCAGGGUUGGAGAGCCCUGAUGUAAACCUUCAGGAGGGAACAGGGUUGGAGAGCCCUGAUGUAAACCUUCAGGAGGGAACAGGGUUGGAGAGCCCUGAUGUAAACCUACAGGAUGAAACAGGGUUGGAGAGCCCUGACGUAAACCUUCAGGAGGGAACAGGGUUGAUGUAAACCUACAGGAGGGAACAGGGUUGGAGAGCCCUGAUGUAAACCUUCAGGAGGGAACAGGGUUGGAGAGCCCUGAUGUAAA